AGUGACAGAGUGAGGGGAGGACUGGUGACAGAGUGAGGGAGGUGGUGACUAGUGACAGAGUGAGGGAGGUGGUGACUGUCACUAGUCACCACCUCCCUCACUCUGUCCCUAGUCACCACCUCCCUCACUCUGUCCCUAGUCACCCCUCCCUCUGUCACUAGUAACCCCCUCCCUCACUCUGUCACU
Molecule: non-coding RNA, 186 nt
Organism: Pelobates cultripes (western spadefoot toad)
Lineage: Eukaryota; Metazoa; Chordata; Amphibia; Anura; Pelobatidae
Source: the annotation of a GenBank genome assembly